Molecule: long non-coding RNA, 756 nt
Organism: Hydra vulgaris (swiftwater hydra)
Lineage: Eukaryota; Metazoa; Cnidaria; Hydrozoa; Anthoathecata; Hydridae
Source: RefSeq, a predicted model, not a curated record
AAAAUGUGUUAAUAUCAAUAUUAGAUAUAAAAGUUUGAAAAAUGACUAGAAUGUUUUGAGAGAGAUACAAAACCAAAGAAAUUCUAGUGGAAGCUUUAUGUCAUUACUAAAUGAUCCCGAAGAAAUAAGUUUACCUUCAUCAUCUCAAAGUUUUUGCCACCCCCUCACAUUGCUCACAUCAAAAAUUCUACUCAUACCAUCACACAAAUCACACAGCCAAUUGAAUACAGAUUGAACUCCAUUGAAAACCUACUUAAAGAUUUAGAAAAAUCUGUAACUUCUACAAGAAAAGAAAUUGGUCAUACUGAUGAAGAUUUAUUUAAGAAAGCGAGUAAUGUAGAAGAGUUAGAUGUCAUAUUGUUGCAAUGUCAGGAUGAUGAAAUGGUUUUACUGUUAAUUAACUGGCUAGUAAUAGCAAAUGGAGAAUACUUAUUGGACAUAUUACGAAACAUUUUGAAUGUCUUCAUGACAUUACAGAUGAAUUGUUGUUGCUCUGGGAAACAUUAUGUCACCAUAAUGACUUUUUUAUAUAAGUUUUUUUUCACACCGUGUCCACGUUAAAAUUUCCUGUAAAAGUAUUGUGUGGCUUUCGUUCUUUUUUAGUGUGGUUGUGAACGAUAAAAGCAUUAUAAUCAAACAUGGGCCGCACCAACAUGAUCAACAUAAAAAGAAGUCUUAUAUAUAGGGCUAACAUAUACUUCCCACUCGUGGGCCACAUGAAACUCACGCACAAAUAAAGUGUGGUGUGCGCUCUUA